This 460-nucleotide ribosomal RNA is filed under the name uncultured Treponema sp. RNAcentral describes it as "bacterial SSU rRNA". It matches the Rfam family "Bacterial small subunit ribosomal RNA", at positions 341 to 792 of the family's 1533-position model. Lineage: Bacteria; Pseudomonadati; Spirochaetota; Spirochaetia; Treponematales; Treponemataceae. The record is from RNAcentral.
ACGGGAGGCAGCAGCUAAGAAUAUUCCGCAAUGGGGGAAACCCUGACGGAGCGACGCCGCGUGGAUGAUGAAGGCCGUGAGGUUGUAAAAUCCUUUUAUUGCAGAGGAAUAAACCGUGGAGUGGAAAGCCAUGGCGGUGACUGUAAGCGAUGAAUAAGCACCGGCUAAUUACGUGCCAGCAGCCGCGGUAACACGUAAGGUGCAAGCGUUGUUCGGAAUUAUUGGGCGUAAAGGGCAUGUAGGCGGUCCGGCAAGCUUGGUGUGAAAUCCCGGGGCUCAACCCCGGAACUGCAUUGAGAACUACUGGACUAGAAUCACUGAGGGGGAGCCGGAAUUCCAGGUGUAGGGGUGAAAUCUGUAGAUAUCUGGAAGAACACCAAUGGCGAAGGCAGGCUUCUAGCAGAUGAUUGACGCUGAGGUGCGAAGGUGCGGGGAGCAAACAGGAUUAGAUACCCUGGUA